RNAcentral lists this ribosomal RNA (429 nucleotides) under Gemmatimonadota bacterium. RNAcentral's name for it is "Gemmatimonadetes bacterium partial 16S ribosomal RNA". It matches the Rfam family "Bacterial small subunit ribosomal RNA", at positions 355 to 776 of the family's 1533-position model. The record is from RNAcentral. Lineage: Bacteria; Pseudomonadati; Gemmatimonadota.
UAGGGAAUCUUCGGCAAUGGACGAAAGUCUGACCGAGCAACGCCGCGUGAGUGAAGAAGGUUUUCGGAUCGUAAAACUCUGUUGUUAGAGAAGAACAAGGACGUUAGUAACUGAACGUCCCCUGACGGUAUCUAACCAGAAAGCCACGGCUAACUACGUGCCAGCAGCCGCGGUAAUACGUAGGUGGCAAGCGUUGUCCGGAUGUAUUGGGCGUAAAGCGAGCGCAGGCGGUUUCUUAAGUCUGAUGUGAAAGCCCCCGGCUCAACCGGGGAGGGUCAUUGGAAACUGGGAGACUUGAGUGCAGAAGAGGAGAGUGGAAUUCCAUGUGUAGCGGUGAAAUGCGUAGAUAUAUGGAGGAACACCAGUGGCGAAGGCGGCUCUCUGGUCUGUAACUGACGCUGAGGCUCGAAAGCGUGGGGAGCAAACAGG